CUGGACAACCUCAGUUGACUUGGGGGACAAGGCAGCAGGAGCACCAGGGCCCUUCACAACCUCUUUUGGGGUGGUGGACAAGGCAGCAGGAGCACCAGACCCCUGCACCACCUCCUUCUGGGUGGGGGAUGAGGCAGCAGGAGCACCAGGGCCCUUCACAACCUCUUUCCAGGUGGGGGACGAGGCAGCAGAAGCACUGGACCCCUGCACCACCUCCUUCCGGGUGGGAGAUGAGGCAGCAGGAGCACCGGGGCCCUUCACGA
Molecule: long non-coding RNA, 263 nt
Filed under: Homo sapiens (human)
Lineage: Eukaryota; Metazoa; Chordata; Mammalia; Primates; Hominidae
Description: HSALNT0003586
Source: RNAcentral